Molecule: ribosomal RNA, 253 nt
Filed under: uncultured bacterium
Lineage: Bacteria
Description: partial 16S ribosomal RNA
Rfam family: Bacterial small subunit ribosomal RNA
Source: RNAcentral
UACAGAGGUCCCAAGCGUUGUUCGGAUUCACUGGGCGUAAAGGGUUCGUAGGUGGUGGGGUAAGUCGGAUGUGAAAUCUCCGGGCUCAACCCGGAAAUGGCAUUGGAAACUACCUUGCUGGAGGAUUUGAGGGGGGAUUGGAAUACUUGGUGUAGCAGUGAAAUGCGUAGAUAUCAAGUGGAACACCAGUGGCGAAGGCGGCUCACUGGGUCUUUUCUGACGCUGAGGGACGAAAGCUAGGGGAGCGAACGGG